AUUGAACGCUGGCGGCAGGCCUAACACAUGCAAGUCGAGCGAUAACGGUCUUCGGACUUAUUAAAGCGGCGGACGGGUGAGUAACGCGUGGGAAUCUACCUAGUAGUGGGGGACAACAGUUGGAAACGACUGCUAAUACCGCAUACGCCCUACGGGGGAAAGCGGAGGAUCUUCGGACUUCGUGCUAUUAGAUGAGCCCGCGUGAGAUUAGUUUGUUGGUGGGGUAAUGGCCUACCAAGACUACGAUCUCUAGCUGGUCUGAGAGGAUGAUCAGCCACACUGGAACUGAGACACGGUCCAGACUCCUACGGGAGGCAGCAGUGGGGAAUAUUGCACAAUGGGCGAAAGCCUGAUGCAGCCAUGCCGCGUGUGUGAAGAA
RNAcentral lists this ribosomal RNA (379 nucleotides) under uncultured bacterium. RNAcentral describes it as "bacterial SSU rRNA". It matches the Rfam family "Bacterial small subunit ribosomal RNA", at positions 30 to 412 of the family's 1533-position model. The record is from RNAcentral.